Molecule: ribosomal RNA, 477 nt
Filed under: uncultured bacterium
Lineage: Bacteria
Description: bacterial SSU rRNA
Rfam family: Bacterial small subunit ribosomal RNA
Source: RNAcentral
AGCGAACGCUGGCGGCGUGGAUUAGGCAUGCAUGUCGAGCGUGAACGGGGAGCAAUCCCUUAGUACAGCGGCACACGGGUCAGUAAUGCGUGGAUAACUUGCCCUCGAGACUGGGAUAACGGCGGGAAACUGCCGCUAAUACCGGAUGGCCUCGCGAACCGGCAUCGGAUUGCGAGUAAAGGUGGGGACCGAAAGGCCUGCUGCUCGUGGAGAGGUUCACGACCUAUCAGCUAGUUGGCGAGGUAACGGCUCACCAAGGCGACGACGGGGUAGGCGGGCUGAGAGGCUGACCGCCGACACUGGGACUGAGAACUGCCCAGACUCCUACGGGAGGCUGCAGUCGAGAAUCUUCCGCAAUGGACGCAAGUCUGACGGAGCGACGCCGCGUGCGGGAUGAAGGUCUUUGGAUUGUAAACCGCUGUCACGCGUUAUGAAUGCGCAACAGCAAAUACCUGUUGCGUUGACAAAGGCGCGAGA